This 2118-nucleotide long non-coding RNA is filed under the name Mytilus galloprovincialis (Mediterranean mussel). The record is from RNAcentral. Lineage: Eukaryota; Metazoa; Mollusca; Bivalvia; Mytilida; Mytilidae.
AGUUUGUUUAUUGCUCUAAAAAGUAUGUUUACUGUUUAACAAUGUACAGAAUGAAAACAGCUUUUAUCACAUAUUCAUAAAUCACCAAUACAAUUACAAAUACAGUUUAACUUACACAAAAUGAUCAUUAAUCACAAAUAGUUAUAAUACAGUUCAUCUGUAUACACAAAAUAUUCAUUAAUCAACAAUAUGGUAAAUAUACAGUUUCUCUUGCAGAAAAUAUACAUGUAUGGUUUAUUGUGUAAAAAUAGUUGAUGGUUUUCUAUGUAAUGCAUUUAUGUGUAUUAUGCAUCUGAUGCUAUAAUUCAUGCUUAUCAAAACAAAAUGUAAAAUAUGCAAGUUAUAACCUAUUUGAUUUUUGAGAUUCAAAAAUAGCAGAUCACUACUAAAACAGAUCACUGUUUCAAGAGACAAAAAUGUUAAGUAAUAUAUAUAUAUAUAUAUAUAUAUUCUCCUCAUCACAAUACUGGGUUACAGUAAUCUGUCAAACAUCAACUUCACAGUAAAAGUGAAAAUAUAAGUUUAGACUGUAGUUACUUAAUGACUGCAUCUUUCCAUUAUAUAAAUGCCAUCAAUAAUUUCUCCCCAAUACACUUACUAUAGCCUUUAUUAAGAUAAAAAAAAUAUCCCUCACCUUAUCAUUCAGAUAUUUUGUAGGUAUUGAAACAUAAGAUUUUUCUUUGGUUUUCAUAAAACAAAAACAUGAGACAUUAUGGUUUGAGACCAUUAUAAAUCUGACAAGAUCAAGCACUAUUAUAAUAUCACAGAAAACUAUUGGAAUAAAAUGUCAGACAGAGAAAUCCUUAAUAUGGUAACUACUCUUAAGCUAGCUUACUAAAAGGUAAUAUGCAAUGCUUUCUGAAUAUGUGCAUGUAUGUACUUUUCCAGAACAAUUGGAUUUACCGUUAUUCAGCUAAUAUUGUCACAAUAACUUUGCUUUAAAUACUCUUUUGUUGAAACUUUAAAGCAUUAAAUAUUAAGUAUUCCAAAUUGCUGACACAGUAUAUUUGAUUGCUUGUUAUGUUCAAAUGCAUGGACAAAAGGAAGGAACGCUUAUAGGAAAGGAUAUUAAUUAACUACUAAACAUUAAAACAGCUCAAAGUAGGUUAGAAAAGGUGAGAAUGCACUUUUGUAAUUUCAGUAGAUAAAGUCAACUAAAGUCUCUUAAACAAUAUAAAUAUACAAUCAUCACAAAACAUUAGGAUAUAACACACUAAACGAGAUGUACAAAAUGUAGACAAAAUUUUAAAAUCAUCAUUUAUAAACUGAUAGAAUAUUAGAGAUUGCUUUACUCUGUGAAGAUUAACUAUAUAGAAAUCUUAAAGUUCGAUAAAGUGCUGAAGUUGCAUUGAAUAUGAAGGAAAUGUUGAAUUUCACUAUUACAUUCAUGCUAGACAAUCUUUUAAUCAUUGACAAAACUAUCAUGAAAAGUUAGUAUUAAAAGGAUGAUACAAAAGUUAUGAUAAACACAUGCAAUAAUAUCUGAAUUUACAGUUAGACAUGCUUAAAACUAAAACCAGAGGGAUAUGAAAAGAAUAAAACAAAAAUUACCUGUGUGAGGUAGUUCAACAGAUCAAAAUAUCAACAUAUAUCACAUAUAAUAUCAAUCAUCACAUCAAUAAUCAGAUAUACUCAAUAAACAAUUCUAAUGCAACAACGUUUGUAACGUUCAUUUUGAUUGGAUAACGUCACUUUUUUACAUGGCAUCAAUUGACAAUUGAUGCUAUGGGACGAACGCGCAAGCGCAGACGGCAUAUGACAGAUUUUAAUUACAUGUUUUAACGUUGUUUUCUGUCAGUUUCAUUAGAAUGGAGAUAACAAUAUUGUAUUUUAAGCUCCGACGGCAUCAAUUAGGGAUUUGAUGGUCGCAAAUACCUGUUUACUGUCUCCGCUAACGCGUCGCCAGUAAACUUAAUUUGCGACCAUCAAAUCCCCAAUUGAUACCGUCGGAGCUUAAAAUACAAUACAGUUAUCUCCUAAAUAUCAUCUCAUUUACCAUCAGUAUGACAUGUGAAAUGAGCUGCAGUAAAUACUGUAAACCAAAUGAUUUUGGCAAGCCAUUGAUUUAUUUACCGAAAUUUCGCAGGUAAUAAAUUACGCCAUUAUAAAUUAGCAAGA